GAAAAAAGGCAGAGGUAGCGCAAGCUUGAGAAAUACUCUUAGAACCUGAUCUAGUUAAUACUAGCGUAGGAAGUCCUUAAUAAAGACAA
This 89-nucleotide non-coding RNA is filed under the name Spiroplasma culicicola. Its description in RNAcentral is "TPP sequence". It matches the Rfam family "TPP riboswitch aptamer (THI element)". From Rfam's summary of the family: Vitamin B(1) in its active form thiamin pyrophosphate (TPP) is an essential coenzyme that is synthesised by coupling of pyrimidine and thiazole moieties in bacteria. The previously detected thiamin-regulatory element, thi box was extended, resulting in a new, highly conserved RNA secondary structure, the THI element, which is widely distributed in eubacteria and also occurs in some archaea. Analysis of operon structures identified a large number of new candidate thiamin-regulated genes, mostly transporters, in various prokaryotic organisms. Lineage: Bacteria; Bacillati; Mycoplasmatota; Mollicutes; Entomoplasmatales; Spiroplasmataceae. The record is from RNAcentral. RNAcentral also lists the same sequence under 1 other name.